RNAcentral lists this unclassified non-coding RNA (319 nucleotides) under uncultured fungus. Its description in RNAcentral is "sequence contains ITS1". The stretch from base 1 to 102 matches the Rfam family "5.8S ribosomal RNA", at positions 50 to 154 of the family's 154-position model. The record is from RNAcentral. Lineage: Eukaryota; Fungi.
AAAGUGCGAUAAGCGUCACGACUUGCAGAUUCCCGAGAGCUGACAAGUCUCUGAAUGCAAAUAGCGGCCGAUUUCAAGUCGGUCAUGUGCUGCAGAGUGUUGUUGCUAUGGCUAAUCAUCAAACGCCUCCCCGCUCCGGGUUGAAGCGUUGGAUUUGUCAAUAGCACAGAAGGUCAAAGCGUGAUCUUCCAUGCUAAUGAUGAAAUCUCCGCGCAAGACCAGUGCGGCCAGAAUUUACUGGACCAACGCAUCGAAUGUCUUGCUGCGGCUUCAUUUCUCUUCUCAACCUCUGCAGUGCAGGAGAACCCGCUGAACUUAA